GCGCGGUUAACUCUGUGCCAGCAGCCGCGGUAAUACAGAGGGUGCAAGCGUUAAUCGGAUUUACUGGGCGUAAAGCGCGCGUAGGCGGCUAAUUAAGUCAAAUGUGAAAUCCCCGAGCUUAACUUGGGAAUUGCAUUCGAUACUGGUUAGCUAGAGUGUGGGAGAGGAUGGUAGAAUUCCAGGUGUAGCGGUGAAAUGCGUAGAGAUCUGGAGGAAUACCGAUGGCGAAGGCAGCCAUCUGGCCUAACACUGACGCUGAGGUGCGAAAGCAUGGGGAGCAAACAGGAUUAGAUACCCUGGUAGUCCAUGCCGUAAACGAUGUCUACUAGCCGUUGGGGCCUUUGAGGCUUUAGUGGCGCAGCUAACGCGAUAAGUAGACCGCCUGGGGAGUACGGUCGCAAGACUAAAACUCAAAUGAAUUGACGGGGGCCCGCACAAGCGGUGGAGCAUGUGGUUUACUUCGAUGCAACGCGAAGAACCUUACCUGGCCUUGACAUAGUAA
RNAcentral lists this ribosomal RNA (502 nucleotides) under uncultured bacterium. Its description in RNAcentral is "bacterial SSU rRNA". It matches the Rfam family "Bacterial small subunit ribosomal RNA", at positions 490 to 992 of the family's 1533-position model. The record is from RNAcentral.